Molecule: ribosomal RNA, 238 nt
Filed under: uncultured bacterium
Lineage: Bacteria
Description: partial 16S ribosomal RNA
Rfam family: Bacterial small subunit ribosomal RNA
Source: RNAcentral
CCGGCACGGGUGAGUAACACGUAUCCAACCUGCCGUCUACUCUUGGCCAGCCUUCUGAAAGGAAGAUUAAUCCAGGAUGGCAUCAUGAGUUCACAUGUCCGCAUGAUUAAAGGUAUUUUCCGGUAGACGAUGGGAUGCGUUCCAUUAGAUAGUAGGCGGGGUAACGGCCCACCUAGUCAACGAUGGAUAGGGGUACUGAGAGGAAGGUCCCCCACAUUGGAACUGAGACACGGUCCAA